This 468-nucleotide ribosomal RNA is filed under the name uncultured bacterium. RNAcentral's name for it is "partial 16S ribosomal RNA". It matches the Rfam family "Bacterial small subunit ribosomal RNA", at positions 329 to 794 of the family's 1533-position model. The record is from RNAcentral.
UGCCAGACUCCUACGGGAGGCAGCAGUGAGGAAUAUUGGUCAAUGGACGAGAGUCUGAACCAGCCAAGUAGCGUGAAGGAUGACUGCCCUAUGGGUUGUAAACUUCUUUUAUAAAGGAAUAAAACGAGGCACGUGUGCCUUUUUGCAUGUACUUUAUGAAUAAGGAUCGGCUAACUCCGUGCCAGCAGCCGCGGUAAUACGGAGGAUCCGAGCGUUAUCCGGAUUUAUUGGGUUUAAAGGGUGCGUAGGCGGUCCGUUAAGUCAGCGGUAAAAUUGCGGGGCUCAACCCUGUCGAGCCGUUGAAACUGGCAGACUUGAGUUGGCGAGAAGUACGCGGAAUGCGCGGUGUAGCGGUGAAAUGCAUAGAUAUCGCGCAGAACUCCGAUUGCGAAGGCAGCGUACCGGCGCCAGACUGACGCUGAGGCACGAAAGCGUGGGGAUCGAACAGGAUUAGAUACCCCUGUAAAA